This 497-nucleotide ribosomal RNA is filed under the name uncultured bacterium. RNAcentral describes it as "partial 16S ribosomal RNA". It matches the Rfam family "Bacterial small subunit ribosomal RNA", at positions 28 to 507 of the family's 1533-position model. The record is from RNAcentral.
GACGAACGCUGGCGGCGUGCCUAAUACAUGCAAGUCGAGCGAACAAACGAGGUGCUUGUUCCUCUUGGAUUAGCGGCGGACGGGUGAGUAACACGUGGGUAACCUACCUUUUAGACUGGGAUAACUUUGGGAAACCAGUGCUAAUACCGCAUAAUAUCUUUAAACGCAAGGUUCAAUUGUGAAAGAUGCUUUUGCUGUCCCCUAUAAAUAGCUCCCCUUCGCAUUAGCAAGUUGGUAAGGUAACGGCUUACCAAGGGGACGAUGCGUGGCCGACCUGGGAGGGUGAUCGGCCACACUGGAACUGAGACACGGUCCAGACUCCUACGGGAGGCGGCAGUAGGGAAUCUUCCGCAAUGGGCGAAAGCCUGACGGAGCAACGCCGCGUGAGUGAUGAAGGUCUUCGGAUCUUAAAACUCUGUUAUUAGGGAAGAACAAAUGUGUAAGUAACUAUGCACGUCUUGACGGUACCUAAUCAGAAAGCCACGGCUAACUACGUG